Molecule: ribosomal RNA, 464 nt
Filed under: uncultured bacterium
Lineage: Bacteria
Description: bacterial SSU rRNA
Rfam family: Bacterial small subunit ribosomal RNA
Source: RNAcentral
UGCCAGACUCCUACGGGAGGCAGCAGUGAGGAAUAUUGGUCAAUGGGCGAGAGCCUGAACCAGCCAAGUCGCGUGAGGGAGUACUGCCCUAUGGGUUGUAAACCUCUUUUGUCGGGGAGCAAAAGCCGGACGUGUCCGGCUGUGAGAGUACCCGAAGAAAAAGCAUCGGCUAACUCCGUGCCAGCAGCCGCGGUAAUACGGAGGAUGCGAGCGUUAUCCGGAUUUAUUGGGUUUAAAGGGUGCGUAGGCGGGCAUUUAAGCCGGCGGUCAAAUGUCGGGGCUCAACCCCGGCCUGCCGUCGGAACUGGGUGCCUUGAGUGGGCGAGAAGUAUGCGGAAUGCGUGGUGUAGCGGUGAAAUGCAUAGAUAUCACGCAGAACCCCGAUUGCGAAGGCAGCAUACCGGCGCCCUACUGACGCUGAGGCACGAAAGUGCGGGUAUCGAACAGGAUUAGAUACCCCGGUA